UACGUAGGGGGCAAGCGUUAUCCGGAUUUACUGGGUGUAAAGGGAGCGUAGACGGCCAGACAAGUCAGAAGUGAAAGCCCAGGGCUCAACCCUGGGACUGCUUUUGAAACUGCCGGGCUGGAGUGCAGGAGAGGUAAGCGGAAUUCCUAGUGUAGCGGUGAAAUGCGUAGAUAUUAGGAGGAACACCAGUGGCGAAGGCGGCUUACUGGACUGUAACUGACGUUGAGGCUCGAAAGCGUGGGGAGCAAACA
Molecule: ribosomal RNA, 251 nt
Filed under: uncultured bacterium
Lineage: Bacteria
Description: partial 16S ribosomal RNA
Rfam family: Bacterial small subunit ribosomal RNA
Source: RNAcentral